This 27-nucleotide non-coding RNA is filed under the name Homo sapiens (human). Lineage: Eukaryota; Metazoa; Chordata; Mammalia; Primates; Hominidae. The record is from RNAcentral.
UCCAAUCUCUGCGUGUUACCCAGUUCC